Molecule: ribosomal RNA, 471 nt
Filed under: uncultured bacterium
Lineage: Bacteria
Description: bacterial SSU rRNA
Rfam family: Bacterial small subunit ribosomal RNA
Source: RNAcentral
UGGGGAAUAUUGGACAAUGGGCGCAAGCCUGAUCCAGCCAUGCCGCGUGUGUGAAGAAGGCCUUCGGGUUGUAAAGCACUUUCAGCGAGGAGGAAGGGAGUUGUGUUAAUAGCACAGCUUCUUGACGUUACUCGCAGAAGAAGCACCGGCUAACUCUGUGCCAGCAGCCGCGGUAAUACAGAGGGUGCAAGCGUUAAUCGGAAUUACUGGGCGUAAAGCGCACGUAGGCGGUUUUUAAGUCAGAUGUGAAAGCCCCGGGCUCAACCUGGGAAUUGCAUUUGAAACUGGAAAACUAGAGUGUGUGAGAGGGGGGUAGAAUUCCAAGUGUAGCGGUGAAAUGCGUAGAGAUUUGGAGGAAUACCAGUGGCGAAGGCGGCCCCCUGGCACAACACUGACGCUCAGGUGCGAAAGCGUGGGGAGCAAACAGGAUUAGAUACCCGAGUAGUCCCUGAGCGGGCUGGCAAGGCGCAU